This 253-nucleotide ribosomal RNA is filed under the name Fimbriimonas sp. RNAcentral's name for it is "partial 16S ribosomal RNA". It matches the Rfam family "Bacterial small subunit ribosomal RNA", at positions 524 to 776 of the family's 1533-position model. RNAcentral also lists the same sequence under 1 other name. The record is from RNAcentral. Lineage: Bacteria; Bacillati; Armatimonadota; Fimbriimonadia; Fimbriimonadales; Fimbriimonadaceae.
UACGUAGGGUGCAAGCGUUGUCCGGAUUUACUGGGCGUAAAGAGCGCGUAGGCGGUCUGUUAAGUGAGAAGUGAAAGCUCUGGGCUCAACCCAAAAAUUGCUUUUCAUACUGGCAGACUGGAGUGAUGCAGAGGUUUGUGGAAUUCCUGGUGUAGCGGUGAAAUGCGUUGAUAUCAGGAGGAACACCGAUGGCGAAGGCAGCAAACUGGGCAUUAACUGACGCUGAGGCGCGAAAGCGUGGGUAGCAAACAGG